UACGUAGGGCGCAAGCGUUGUCCGGAAUUAUUGGGCGUAAAGAGCUCGUAGGCGGUUUGUCGCGUCUGCUGUGAAAACCGUAGUCAACCUCGGACUUGCAGUGGGUACGGGCAGACUAGAGUGUGGUAGGGGGAGACUGGAAUUCCUGGUGUAGCGGUGGAAUGCGCAGAUAUCGGGAGGAACACCAGUGGCGAAGGCGGCGAUCUGGGGAAGAUACUGACGCUGAGGUGCGAAAGCGUGGGGGAGCAAACAGGG
Molecule: ribosomal RNA, 255 nt
Filed under: uncultured bacterium
Lineage: Bacteria
Description: partial 16S ribosomal RNA
Rfam family: Bacterial small subunit ribosomal RNA
Source: RNAcentral